Molecule: ribosomal RNA, 406 nt
Filed under: uncultured bacterium
Lineage: Bacteria
Description: partial 16S ribosomal RNA
Rfam family: Bacterial small subunit ribosomal RNA
Source: RNAcentral
GACGAACGCUGGCGGCGUGCUUAACACAUGCAAGUCGAACGAGUGUAGAACGGGGGAGUAAGACGUGGGUAACCUGCCCUCUUUUUGGGAUAAGCCUGUGAAACGGGGGCUAAUACCGAAUCAAGGGGGAUGGGCUCGCGGCCUAUCAGCUUGUUGGUGGGGUGAUGGCCUACACAGGGGGUGACGGGUAGCCGGCCUGCGAGGGUGAACUGUCACAGUGGGACUGAGAUACGGCCCAGGCUCCUAGGGGGGGCAGCAGUGGGGGAGAUUGCACAAUGGGUGAAGGCCUUAUGCAGCGACGCCGCGUGGGGGAUGAAGGCUUUCGGGUUGUAAACCUCUUUCGCAAGCUAACGGGUAGGUGGAGAAGAAGCGCCGGCUAACUACGUGCCAGCCGCCGCGGUAAUUC